ACGGAGGCAGCAGUGGGGAAUCUUGCGCAAUGGGCGAAAGCCUGACGCAGCCAUGCCGCGUGAAUGAUGAAGGUCUUAGGAUUGUAAAAUUCUUUUAGCAGGGACGAUAAUGACGGUACCUGCAGAAAAAGCCCCGGCUAACUUCGUGCCAGCAGCCGCGGUAAUACGAAGGGGGCUAGCGUUGCUCGGAAUUACUGGGCGUAAAGGGAGCGUAGGCGGGUUAUCAAGUUGGAGGUGAAAGCCCAGGGCUCAACCUUGGAAUUGCCUUCAAAACUGAUAGCCUAGAGUAUGGAAGAGGUAAGUGGAACUCCGAGUGUAGAGGUGAAAUUCGUAGAUAUUCGGAAGAACACCAGUGGCGAAGGCGACUUACUGGUCCAUGACUGACGCUGAGGCUCGAAAGCGUGGGGAGCAAACAGGAUUAGAUACCCGAGUAGUCC
This 437-nucleotide ribosomal RNA is filed under the name uncultured bacterium. Its description in RNAcentral is "bacterial SSU rRNA". It matches the Rfam family "Bacterial small subunit ribosomal RNA", at positions 341 to 796 of the family's 1533-position model. The record is from RNAcentral.